GAUCAUGGCUCAGGACGAACGGCUGGCGGCGUGCUUCAUACAUGCAAGUCGAACGAUAAGGUCUCUUCGGAGAUACAUAAGUGGCGGACGGGUGAGUAAAUAGUAGAGAAUCUGCCCUUAAGCGGGGGACGAACAGAGGGAAACUUCUGCUAAUACCCCAUAUGAGCGUACCUGAAAUGGUAUUCUUGAAAACUCCGGUGCUUAAGGAUGAGUCUGCAUCUGAUUAGCUAGUUGGGGGUGUAAUGGACCACCAAGGCGACGAUCAGUAGCUGGUUUGAGAGGAUGAUCAGCCACAAUGGGACUGAGACACGGCCCAUACUCCUACGGGAGGCAGCAGUAGGGAAUUUUGCGCAAUGGGGGAAACCCGUACGACGCAGCAACGCCGCGUGACCGAUGAAGCCCUUCGGGGUGUAAAGGUCUGUCAGUGGGGACGAAACUUGACGGUACCCACAGAGGAAGCAUCGGCUAACUCCGUGCCAGCCGCCGC
This 487-nucleotide ribosomal RNA is filed under the name uncultured bacterium. Its description in RNAcentral is "bacterial SSU rRNA". It matches the Rfam family "Bacterial small subunit ribosomal RNA", at positions 15 to 518 of the family's 1533-position model. The record is from RNAcentral.